UUAACUAUCAUAUUAUUUCUCAAUAAAUUAGGAAAAAAUUUAAAAUAUCUACCCAAUCCACACCCCAACCCCUACCCCCACCUAUGAUACAAGUGAAAUGGACGCCUUAACUUUCGAUGGCAUCAUUCAAACUCACUACGUGAAGAAUCAAGUUUUGGUCACAUGGAGGGCACGGAAUCAUACUUGUAGGGGUUAUUUUGAGCAUGACAUCAAACAAACCCAUGUGUGAAAGAUUGCUUGGAGCCUUGAAGACUAGAGGACUCACGGGUUUGGACCACAUUUGAUGGUUCACGGUUUUGGCCCCUUAUAUUAAGGUCAUUUUGGUCACUUAGCCUCAAGGUCAUUUUGGUAUUUUAGCCUUGUCUAAAUGGCACUCCAUUGCCACCCAACUCAUUAAGGGCAUUGGAGUCAUUUUAUCUUUCUUUUGUAAUAUACUAUAUAUAGUCUAUUUUAGAUCAUUUCUCUUUAGUUGAUGAAUGAUGAAAUAUUGAAAGACUUAUUCUCUCUCUUUGAGAGUGUUCCACCUUAGUGUAGUUCUUAGUUAGAGCUUGAA
Molecule: long non-coding RNA, 553 nt
Filed under: Capsicum annuum
Lineage: Eukaryota; Viridiplantae; Streptophyta; Magnoliopsida; Solanales; Solanaceae
Description: long non-coding RNA (CANN_LNC007817)
Source: RNAcentral